RNAcentral lists this ribosomal RNA (253 nucleotides) under uncultured bacterium. RNAcentral's name for it is "partial 16S ribosomal RNA". It matches the Rfam family "Bacterial small subunit ribosomal RNA", at positions 524 to 776 of the family's 1533-position model. The record is from RNAcentral.
UACGUAGGUGGCAAGCGUUGUCCGGAAUUAUUGGGCGUAACGCGCGCGCAGGCGGCCCCUUAAGUCUGAUGUGAAAGCCCACGGCUCAACCGUGGAGGGUCAUUGGAAACUGGGGGACUUGAGUGCAGAAGAGGAAAGUGGAAUUCCAUGUGUAGCGGUGAAAUGCGUAGAGAUGUGGAGGAACACCAGUGGCGAAGGCGACUUUCUGGUCUGUAACUGACGCUGAGGCGCGAAAGCGUGGGGAGCAAACAGG